GGCUUGCACUGGGGUGAACUGCUCCCACUGUCCUGCCAUUGGUACACCACUGGAAACAUCAGUGAAGAAGCACUGUGGUGGAGGUGGAGGAUGACACGAAGGCAGUGAGACAGAAGCCGGGAUUACACUUAUUUCCUGCAUAUAAACCCCCAAUUAUAGUCAGUCAUGGAGAAGGAUUUGAGACUGAUCUCCCAUCUCUUCAGCUGCAGCACCUGAUUAAAGCCUUCUUCCCUAAAAAUACUUGUUGGCUCAGUGAUUGGCUUUCUGUGUGAUGAACAGCAGGACCUAGACAGGACCCUUCGUGUUUUGAUCUCAGCACCCGUAUAUAAGAACAGGGUCAAUUUUGCUUGGCUUUGGAGGAGAAUUUGGAUGAAAAUGCAGAAGGACAUGUCUCUUCCCAAUUAUGUGAGUAGAAAUAAGUAUUUGUAGAGUAUGUUUUAAUUUCCUCAACAGUAAACUAUAAUUAGAUGUUGCCACAGCCUUCACUAGUCCAGUCUAUGAUGGUGUAGUAUCUGGCAGUUGAUCUGCAAUUGUUUAUGUGUUCUUCCUGAGGUCUUCUCCAGCUUGACUUCUCAUCUGUACCAGGACACACAAUAAUUUAAAUCACUCAUACAUAUUCUUUGCAAAUU
This is a long non-coding RNA of Pan troglodytes (chimpanzee), 629 nucleotides long. RefSeq lists it as uncharacterized. The record is from RefSeq and is a predicted model, not a curated record. The transcript has 3 exons. Lineage: Eukaryota; Metazoa; Chordata; Mammalia; Primates; Hominidae.